Molecule: long non-coding RNA, 212 nt
Filed under: Elaeis guineensis (African oil palm)
Lineage: Eukaryota; Viridiplantae; Streptophyta; Magnoliopsida; Arecales; Arecaceae
Description: long non-coding RNA (EGUI_LNC080886)
Source: RNAcentral
CCAACAAAUGAUCAGGUCCGACUUUGGUCGGCCAACCUAACCACCUAUCAAAGAGACAUGACUGAGUUAUCAUAUUAUAAAUGAUAAUUCUAAUGAUAGAUAAGCACCAAGCCUUUGGGCCUCCAAUGAUUAUUAAACUAAUGGACCCAUUAUCAUCCACCUUAAUAGGAGGCUAUGAUCUAGUUAUCUCCAUAACUAGCUCAUCUUAUGGA